This 327-nucleotide ribosomal RNA is filed under the name uncultured eukaryote. RNAcentral describes it as "partial 18S ribosomal RNA". It matches the Rfam family "Eukaryotic small subunit ribosomal RNA", at positions 1470 to 1796 of the family's 1831-position model. The record is from RNAcentral.
CCCUUAGAUGUUCUGGGCCGCACACGCGCUACACUGAAGGAGGCAGCGUGUACUCCUGGAUCGAAAGAUUUGGGUAACCCGCGAAUCUCCUUCGUGCUAGGGAUUGAGGUUUGCAAUUAUCCUUCAUGAACGAGGAAUUCCCAGUAAGUGCAAGUCAUAAGCUUGCGCUGACUACGUCCCUGCCCUUUGUGCACACCGCCCGUCGCUACUACCGAUUGAAUGAUUUAGUGAGGACUUCGGACUGGGACCGAUGCGGCUUUCGGGCUGCGUCGGUAUUCUGGAAAGAUGUCCAAACUGUAUCAUUUAGAGGAAGUAAAANUCGUANCA